Molecule: ribosomal RNA, 254 nt
Filed under: uncultured bacterium
Lineage: Bacteria
Description: partial 16S ribosomal RNA
Rfam family: Bacterial small subunit ribosomal RNA
Source: RNAcentral
CACGUAGGGUGCGAGCGUUGUCCGGAAUUAUUGGGCGUAAAGAGCUCGUAGGCGGUGUGUCGCGUCGGCCGUGAAAACCUGGGGCUUAACUCUGGGCGUGCGGUCGAUACGGGCAUCACUGGAGUUCGGCAGGGGAGACUGGAAUUCCUGGUGUAGCGGUGAAAUGCGCAGAUAUCAGGAGGAACACCAGCGGCGAAGGCGGCGCUCUGGGCCGGAACUGACGCUGAGGAGCGAAAGCGUGGGUAGCAAACAGG